CGGGUGAGUAACACGUGAGUAAUCCACCCUCGGUACCGGAAUAGCCCGGGGAAACCCGGAUUAAUGCCGGAUGGCCCAUUCGCCCUUCGGGGAUGAAUGGAAAAGAUAGCUUCGGCCUUCGACCGAGGACGAGCUCGCGGCGGAUUAGCUUGUUGGCGGGGUAACGGCCCACCAAGGCGACGAUCCGUAGCUGGUCUGAGAGGACGAUCAGCCACACUGGGACUGAGACACGGCCCAGACUCCUACGGGAGGCAGCAGUGGGGAAUCUUGCGCAAUGGGCGAAAGCCUGACGCAGCGACGCCGCGUGAGGGAAGAAGGCCUUCGGGUUGUAAACCUCUUUCAGGAGGGACGAAGCCACUCGGGUGAAUAGCCCAGAGGGUGACGGUACCUCCAGAAGAAGCCCCGGCUAACUACGUGCCAGCAGCCGCGGUAAUACGUAGGGGGCAAGCGUUGUCCGGAUUUAUUGGGCGUAAAGAGCGUGUAGGCGGCUUCACAGGUCCGCUGUGAAAACUCGAGGCUCAACCUCGAGCUGUCGGUGGAAACCGUGUGGCUAGAGUCCGGAAGAGGAGAGUGGAAUUCCCGGUGUAGCGGUGAAAUGCGCAGAUAUCGGGAAGAAC
RNAcentral lists this ribosomal RNA (617 nucleotides) under uncultured bacterium. RNAcentral's name for it is "bacterial SSU rRNA". It matches the Rfam family "Bacterial small subunit ribosomal RNA", at positions 103 to 707 of the family's 1533-position model. The record is from RNAcentral.